AACGAACGCUGGCGGCAGGCUUAACACAUGCAAGUCGAGCGCCCCGCAAGGGGAGCGGCAGACGGGUGAGUAACGCGUGGGAAUCUACCCAUCUCUACGGAAUAACUCAGGGAAACUUGUGCUAAUACCGUAUACGCCCUUCGGGGGAAAGAUUUAUCGGAGAUGGAUGAGCCCGCGUUGGAUUAGCUAGUUGGUGGGGUAAAGGCCUACCAAGGCGACGAUCCAUAGCUGGUCUGAGAGGAUGAUCAGCCACACUGGGACUGAGACACGGCCCAGACUCCUAC
RNAcentral lists this ribosomal RNA (284 nucleotides) under uncultured bacterium. Its description in RNAcentral is "partial 16S ribosomal RNA". It matches the Rfam family "Bacterial small subunit ribosomal RNA", at positions 29 to 342 of the family's 1533-position model. The record is from RNAcentral.